UUGAGCCCAGUGCAGUGAAAGUUGCACGCUGGGUUCUUAGGAGGGCGGCACUUGGCAACAAGUGCCGCCUAUCCGAC
Molecule: non-coding RNA, 77 nt
Organism: Shewanella benthica KT99
Lineage: Bacteria; Pseudomonadati; Pseudomonadota; Gammaproteobacteria; Alteromonadales; Shewanellaceae
Source: Rfam